This 1508-nucleotide ribosomal RNA is filed under the name metagenome. Its description in RNAcentral is "bacterial LSU rRNA". It matches the Rfam family "Bacterial large subunit ribosomal RNA", at positions 1402 to 2925 of the family's 2925-position model. The record is from RNAcentral.
CCGAAAGGCGUAGGUGAUGGACAACAGGUUGAUAUUCCUGUACCGCCAAUAAGCGUUUGAGAGAUGGAGUGACACAGUAGGAUAAGCUAACCGUACUGUUGGUUAUGUACGGCUAAGCAUUGAGGCAGUCUAAAUAGGCAAAUCCGUUUAGACAAUGCUAGGAUGUGAUGGGGAAGCCCUCCGGGGCGAAGUAGCUGAUUUCACACUGUCAAGAAAAGCUUCUAUCGAGUUUAAAGGCGCCCGUACCGUAAACCGACACAGGUGGGUGAGGAGAGUAUCCUAAGGCCAGCGAGAGAACUAUUGUUAAGGAACUCGGCAAAAUGACCCCGUAACUUAGGGAGAAGGGGUGCCUGUCUAUGACAGGCCGCAGAGAAUAGGCCCAAGCGACUGUUUACCAAAAACACAGGUUUCUGCUAAGUCGCAAGACGAUGUAUAGGAGCUGACGCCUGCCCGGUGCUGGAAGGUUAAGGGGAUCUGUUAGAGCAAUCGAAGCAGUGAACUUAAGCCCCAGUAAACGGCGGCCGUAACUAUAACGGUCCUAAGGUAGCGAAAUUCCUUGUCGGGUAAGUUCCGACCCGCACGAAAGGCGUAACGAUUUGGGCACUGUCUCAACAAUAGACUCGGUGAAAUUGUAAUCCCGGUGAAGAUGCCGGGUACCUGCGACAGGACGGAAAGACCCCAUGGAGCUUUACUGUAGCUUGACGUUGGGUCUUGGUACUACAUGUACAGGAUAGGUGGGAGACUAUGAAGCAUGGACGCCAGUCUGUGUGGAGUCAUCCUUGGGAUACCACCCUUGUAGUACUGGGAUCCUAACCAUAGGCCUUGAAUCAGGUCUUGGAACACCGUCAGGUGGGCAGUUUGACUGGGGCGGUCGCCUCCUAAAAAGUAACGGAGGCGCUCAAAGGUUUCCUCAGCACGGUCGGAAAUCGUGCGAAGAGUGUAAAGGCAAAAGGAAGCUUGAUUGCAAGACAUACAGGUCGAGCAAGGACGAAAGUCGGACUUAGUGAUCCGGUGGUACCGUAUGGAAGGGCCAUCGCUCAACGGAUAAAAGCUACCCUGGGGAUAACAGGCUUAUCUCCCCCAAGAGUCCACAUCGACGGGGAGGUUUGGCACCUCGAUGUCGGCUCAUCACAUCCUGGGGCUGUAGUAGGUCCCAAGGGUUGGGCUGUUCGCCCAUUAAAGUGGUACGCGAGCUGGGUUCAGAACGUCGUGAGACAGUUCGGUCCCUAUCCGUCGCAGGCGUAGGAAAUUUGAGAAGACCUGUCCUUAGUACGAGAGGACCGGGAUGGACGUACCUCUGGUGUACCAGUUGUUCUGCCAAGGGCAUGGCUGGGUAGCUAUGUACGGAAUGGAUAAGCGCUGAAAGCAUCUAAGCGCGAAGCCAACUUCAAGAUAAGAUUUCCCACCGUAAGGGUAAGACCCCAGGAAGACUACCUGGUUGAUAGGUCGAAGGUGUAAGUGCAGUAAUGUAUUUAGCUUAUCGAUACUAAUAGGUCGAGGACUUGACC